Molecule: ribosomal RNA, 230 nt
Filed under: Cellulomonas sp. CX5
Lineage: Bacteria; Bacillati; Actinomycetota; Actinomycetes; Micrococcales; Cellulomonadaceae
Description: partial 16S ribosomal RNA
Rfam family: Bacterial small subunit ribosomal RNA
Source: RNAcentral
ACAAUGGCCGGUACAAAGGGCUGCGAUACCGCGAGGUGGAGCGAAUCCCAAAAAGCCGGUCUCAGUUCGGAUUGGGGUCUGCAACUCGACCCCAUGAAGUCGGAGUCGCUAGUAAUCGCAGAUCAGCAACGCUGCGGUGAAUACGUUCCCGGGCCUUGUACACACCGCCCAUCAAGUCAUGAAAGUCGGUAACACCCGAAGCCGAUGGCCCAACCUUUUGGGGGGAGUCG